CUUGCUAUUUUUUCUGAGGUUUUAUGGUCUCCUUUUCUGUCCUUUAUUUAAAAAAAAAAAAAUUUAUGUUUUCCUUCGUUCCACUCAUCAUCCCAGUUAGGCUUGGCUGCAGCGGUCCUCAGACCCUCCUUUUCAGCAGUUGCCCCUCUGGUUCAGGGAGCUCGCGUGUCACUGGCAGUCAGGUCCGCCGUCAGCACUCACUCCCAGCAGUGUCGGGGAGAAGAUAAAGUGUCUGGGACUGCAGUGCUCUGAGGAUCUCUUCCCACUGCGUUAGUGUACAUGGCACCGACAGCUUGUCUAGGCUAAAGUAUCCAUAGUUCCUUCCUUCCUUCAACAACCAGUUACUAAAUGUGAACGUUACAAGUUCCUCGAGGGCGAAUCCUCAUAACUCAGCAAAUAUUUAUUAGUUGCUGAAUUCCUGGGUGCUGGGGUGAGAGCAUUUAAAUAAGGAAAGGGAACCUGCCCGCAGGCCACUUCCCCAAUAGUGAUUGAUAGGCAACUGACAUGUAACAAACAAGACCUUUCACCUCUGAACCUGUGACGUGAUAGACAGUGACCUGAACUGGUAGGGAUGGUGAGUUGUGCCCUGGAAGAUGCCUGCCAUGUGAAGAUCUAGGAAAAGAACAUCCCUGGCUGAAGAGAGAGCAGAUGCAAAGGCCCCUGAGAGGGAACCAGCUCAGAGGCUUUGAACAGCAGAAGGUCCACAUGCCACCAGCUCAGUGAGGGAGGGGUGUAGAAAGUGCAGCAAAUGCAAAACAACUCAUGUGGUUUCUGUUUUUCUGACUGGCCACCAACUGAUCCACAUCCCUCUGAGACUGAUCACCACAUGCAAGGCUGGCUGUGGAAGAUGAAGUUUGUUCUUGGAUCCAGG
This 871-nucleotide long non-coding RNA is filed under the name Equus caballus (horse). RNAcentral's name for it is "lncRNA (ENSECAG00000051540.1)". Lineage: Eukaryota; Metazoa; Chordata; Mammalia; Perissodactyla; Equidae. The record is from RNAcentral.